GGGGGGGGGCAAGCGUUGUUCGGAAUUACUGGGCGUAAAGGGCGCGCAGGCGGCCUGGGCCAGUCCUACGUGAAAUCCCACAGCUCAACUGUGGAACUGCGUGGGAUACUGCCAGGCUUGAGUCCGGGAGAGGAGAGUGGAAUUCCCAGUGUGGCGGUGAAAUGCGUAGAUAUUGGGAGGAACACCGGUGGCGAAGGCGGCUCUCUGGACCGGUACUGACGCUGAGGCGCGAAAGCUAGGGGAGCAAACGGGAUUAGAUACCCCGGUAGUCCUAGCCGUAAACUUUGAGCACUUGGUGCGGCGGGUAUCGACCCCUGCCGUGCCGAAGCUAACGCAUUAAGUGCUCCGCCUGGGGAGUACGGUCGCAAAGGCUG
RNAcentral lists this ribosomal RNA (374 nucleotides) under uncultured organism. RNAcentral describes it as "partial 16S ribosomal RNA". It matches the Rfam family "Bacterial small subunit ribosomal RNA", at positions 526 to 896 of the family's 1533-position model. The record is from RNAcentral.